GGGGAUGUAGCUCAGUGUGAGAGUUCUUGCCCCGUAAGCAUGGGGCUCUGGGUUCAAUCCCCAGUGUUAUCC
Molecule: transfer RNA, 72 nt
Filed under: Neotoma lepida (desert woodrat)
Lineage: Eukaryota; Metazoa; Chordata; Mammalia; Rodentia; Cricetidae
Rfam family: tRNA
About the family: Transfer RNA (tRNA) molecules are approximately 80 nucleotides in length. Their secondary structure includes four short double-helical elements and three loops (D, anti-codon, and T loops).
Source: Rfam by way of RNAcentral